RNAcentral lists this ribosomal RNA (472 nucleotides) under uncultured organism. RNAcentral's name for it is "partial 16S ribosomal RNA". It matches the Rfam family "Bacterial small subunit ribosomal RNA", at positions 334 to 797 of the family's 1533-position model. The record is from RNAcentral.
CACUCCUGCGGGAGGCAGCAGUGGGGAAUUUUGGACCAUGGGCGAAAGCCUGAUCCAGCAAUGCCGCGUGAGUGAAGAAGGCCUUCGGGUUGUAAAGCUCUUUUGUCAGGGAAGAAACGGUGAAAGCUAAUAUCUUUUGCUAAUGACGGUACCUGAAGAAUAAGCACCGGCUAACUACGUGCCAGCAGCCGCGGUAAUACGUAGGGUGCAAGCGUUAAUCGGAAUUACUGGGCGUAAAGCGUGCGCAGGCGGUUUUGUAAGUCUGAUGUGAAAUCCCCGGGCUCAACCUGGGAAUUGCAUUGGAGACUGCAAGGCUAGAAUCUGGCAGAGGGGGGUAGAAUUCCACGUGUAGCAGUGAAAUGCGUAGAUAUGUGGAGGAACACCGAUGGCGAAGGCAGCCCCCGGGGUCAAGAUUGACGCUCAUGCACGAAAGCGUGGGGAGCAAACAGGAUUAGAAACCCCGGUAGUCCCA